AUGAUCAUACUUUAUAGGAUCACUUCUAUAGUGCGAUUGCCGGGUUUCUCGCCAAGAUUCUCGGAAUAUGUUCAACCACGAUGAGGACUGUUAGUGUAAUCCUCUGAGCGGGAAGCGGCUCUCAAGUUGUGCUUGAGAGUUUUGAUGACCGUUCUUACUCGUUUACCGAUGUUAGGAGGAGGAUUGCACAGGCUGAGUGGU
This 201-nucleotide small nucleolar RNA is filed under the name Penaeus vannamei (Pacific white shrimp). RNAcentral's name for it is "Litopenaeus vannamei (Pacific white shrimp) Small nucleolar RNA U3". It matches the Rfam family "Small nucleolar RNA U3". From Rfam's summary of the family: Small nucleolar RNAs (snoRNAs) are involved in the processing and modification of rRNA in the nucleolus. The record is from Rfam by way of RNAcentral. Lineage: Eukaryota; Metazoa; Arthropoda; Malacostraca; Decapoda; Penaeidae.